RNAcentral lists this ribosomal RNA (229 nucleotides) under uncultured bacterium. RNAcentral describes it as "partial 16S ribosomal RNA". It matches the Rfam family "Bacterial small subunit ribosomal RNA", at positions 568 to 796 of the family's 1533-position model. The record is from RNAcentral.
CACGUAGGCGGCGCUGUAAGUUGGACGUGAAAUCUCUCGGCUCAACUGGGAGAGGUCGUUCAAUACUGUGGUGCUCGAGGUUGGAAGAGGAGAGUGGAAUUCCCGGUGUAGUGGUGGAAUGCGUAGAUAUCGGGAGGAACACCAGUGGCGAAGGCGGCUCUCUGGUCCACACCUGACGCUGAGGUGCGAAAGCGUGGGUAGCGAACAGGAUUAGAUACCCUGGUAGUCC